UCGGCUCUCGCAUCGAUGAAGAACGUAGCGAAAUGCGAUACUUGGUGUGAAUUGCAGAAUCCCGUGAACCAUCGAGUCUUUGAACGCAAGUUGCGCCCGAAGCCUUUAGGCCGAGGGCACGCCUGCCUGGGCGUCACAC
Molecule: ribosomal RNA, 139 nt
Filed under: Amelanchier ovalis
Lineage: Eukaryota; Viridiplantae; Streptophyta; Magnoliopsida; Rosales; Rosaceae
Description: partial 5.8S ribosomal RNA
Rfam family: 5.8S ribosomal RNA
About the family: 5.8S ribosomal RNA (5.8S rRNA) is a component of the large subunit of the eukaryotic ribosome. It is transcribed by RNA polymerase I as part of the 45S precursor that also contains 18S and 28S rRNA.
Source: RNAcentral